GGAUACGGCCAUACUGCGCAGAAAGCACCACUUCCCAUCCGAACAGUGAAGUUAAGCUGCGCCAGGCGGUGUUAGUACUGGGGUGGGCGACCACCCGGGAAUCCUCCGUGCCGUAUCCUUUU
Molecule: ribosomal RNA, 122 nt
Filed under: Acanthamoeba mauritaniensis
Lineage: Eukaryota; Discosea; Longamoebia; Acanthamoebidae
Source: RNAcentral